Molecule: long non-coding RNA, 1911 nt
Filed under: Carica papaya (papaya)
Lineage: Eukaryota; Viridiplantae; Streptophyta; Magnoliopsida; Brassicales; Caricaceae
Description: long non-coding RNA (CPAP_LNC014497)
Source: RNAcentral
UCCAGUAAAUCGUUUACUAUCUUUUUUGUUUUUUGCUCCUAAUUCCUUUUUCUCUCGUUCUACUUCAAAUCUCUUUAAACAACCCCGUUACUUUAUCCUUUGAUCGCUUUGAUCUCUUUUUUAGUUGGAUCGCCUCAUUCCGUACUUUCGCUCUCAAUAUACUUCAAAUCUCUUUAAACAACUCCAUUGCCUUAUUGCAUACUUUUUCCCUCAUUCACUAAACCCUUUCAUCUCUUUUUUUGGUUCUUACUCCUCAUUCUUUACAUUUUCUCUCCUUAUACUCAAAAUCUCUUUAAACAACUCCAUUGCCUUAUUCUCUGAGCACUUUAAUUUCUUUUUUUGUUUUUUUCUCCUCAUUCCUUAGUUUUUCUCUCAAUCUACUCCAAAUAUCUUUAAACAACUCUAGUGCCUUAUCCAUUGCUAUAAAUAUCUCAUUCUACUUUUUCUCUCAUUUUACUCCCAAUUCUCUUUAAACAACUCUAUUGCUUUAUCCUUUGAUCACUUUGAUCUUUUUCUUUUUAUCUCCUCAUUCCUUACUUUUUCUCUCAGUCUACUCCAAAUUUCUUUAAAUAACUCAAUCGCUUUAUUCCCUAAACCCUUUAAUCUUUUUUUCUUUUUUGCUUCUCAAUUCUAUAAUUUUUCUCUCAUUCUACUGUAAAUCUCUUUAAACAACUCCGUUGCCUUAUCCCCUAAGUCUUUUAGUCUCUUUUUUGUGUUUUGCUUCUCAUUCCAUACUUUUUCUCUCCUAUUCUAAAUCUGUCCAUUGCCUUAUCCUCUAAACAGUUUAAGCAAUCUAUUUCAGUCGCCUGCAAAUAGAUGAUCUUUGGUUUUAAUCUGCUUAUACAUCCUCAAAUUAAAUAUCUUUUUCCAUGAUCAUUGAUUCUCCUAACUUUUCAGGAUAUGAUGUGCCUCAACAUUGAUUAAUUGUCUUACAAUAUUCCCUGUCUUUUCUUUCCAUCAUGGCUCGGGUUACUAUAGUUGAUACUGAACCUCAGCCUUUUCAGUUCCUUAGAUCCCUUUAUAACUUAUUUGCUUUUCAUUUUUUGUUUUUUGCACCUCAUUCUUUACCUUUUCUCUCCUACUCUAAAUCUCUUUAAACAACUCCAUUGUUUUAUCCUCUAAACUUUUUAAUUUCUUUUUUGUUUUUUGCUCCUCAUUCCUUACCUUUACUCUCAUUCUACUCUAAAUGUCUUUAAUCAACUCCAUUGCCUUAUUCUCUAAACUGUUUAAUCUCUUUUUUAUUUUUUACUCGUCAUUGCUUACCUUUUCUCUCAUUCUCUAAAUCUCUUUAAACAACUCUAUUGCCUUAUCCUCUAAAUCCUUUAAUCUCUUUUUUAUCUUUUGCUCCUUAUUCUUUACAUUUUCUCAUCUACUCUAACUCUCUUUAACAACUCUAUUGCCUUAUUGUCUAAACUCUUUAAUCUCUUUUUUAUUUUUUUGCUCCUCAUUCCUUACCUUUUCUUACCUUCUACUCUAAAUCUCUUUAAACAACUCCAUUGUCUUAUCCUUUAAAACCUUUAUUCUCUUUCUUGUUUUUUGCUCCUUGUUCUUUACUUUUUGUCUUACUCUAAUCCUCUAAACACUUUAAUCCCAUUUUUGUUUAUUGCUCCUCAUUUCUUACUUUUUCUCUCCUUCUACUCUAAAUCUCUUUAAACAACUUCAUUAUCUUAUCUUCUAAACAGUUUAAACCCUCUAUUUUAGUCUAAUGCAAACAUAUGAUCUUUGGUUUUAAUAUGUCCUAAUUACCUGUCUUUUUCUAUGAUCAUUUAUUCUCUUAAUUUUUCAGGAUACGAUGUAUCCCUAUUUUAGUCUAACGCAAACAUAUGAUCUUUGGUUUUAAUAUGUCCUAAUUACCUGUCUUUUUCUAUGAUCAUUUAUUCUCCUAAUAUUUCAGGAUACGAUGUAUCCCUA